UCACACCCCCCCCUGAGGGGACUGAGGGCAGAGUGGAUGACUUCACUCAGUCACACCCCCCUCAUUCCCUAUAUAGUGCACAUGUUGCCCAGGGCCCUAUAGUGGACCUUCUGUUAAGCGCCCCCCACCAACAGACAGUAAGUACAGCUGAGAUGCAGUUCCUGAUAUUGUCUGAUUUUUUUUAGAUCACAAACCAGGUCCUAGUCUUUCUGAGGGGACAGAGGGUAGAGAACCUCAUUCAGGGCAGGUCCUGUUCUGUCUGAGGGGACUGAGGGUAGAGGAGAACCUCGUUCAGGGCAGGUCCUAUUCUGUCUGAGGGGACUGGGGGUAGAGGAGAACCUCGUUCAGGGCAGGUCCUGUUCUUUCUGAGGGGACUGGGGGUAGAGGAGAACCUCGUUCAGGGCAGGUCCUAUUCUGUAUGAGGGGGCUGAGAGUAGAGGAGAACCUUAUUCAGGGCAGGUCCUAUUCUGUCUGAGGGUAGAGGAGAACCUCGUUCAGGGCAGGUCCUAGUCUUUCUGAGGGGACAGAGGGUAGAGGAGAACCUCGUUCAGGGCAGGUCCUAUUCUUUCUGAGGGGACAGAGGGUAGAGGAGAACCUCGUUCAGGGCAGGUCCUAUUCUUUCUGAGGGGACUGAGGGUAGAGGAGAACCUCGUUCAGGGCAGGUCCUAGUCUUUCUGAGGGGACUGAGGGUAGAGGAGAACCUCGUUCAGGGCAGGUCCUAGUCUUUCUGAGGGGACUGAGGGUAGAGGAGAACCUCGUUCAGGGCAGGUCCUAGUCUUUCUGAGGGGACUGGGGGUAGAGGAGAACCUCGUUCAGGGCAGGUCCUAUUCUGUCUGAGGGUAGAGGAGAACCUUAUUCAGGGCAGGUCCUAUUCUGUCUGAGGGGACUGGGGGUAGAGGAGAACCUCGUUCAGGGCAGGUCCUAUUCUUUCUGAGGGGACAGAGGGUAGAGGAGAACCUCGUUCAGGGCAGGUCCUAUUCUGUCUGAGGGGACUGGGGGUAGAGGAGAACCUCGUUCAGGGCAGGUCCUAUUCUUUCUGAGGGGACUGGGGGUAGAGGAGAACCUCAUUCAGGGCAGGUCCUAUUCUUUCUGAGGGGACAGAGGGUAGAGGAGAACCUCGUUCAGGGCAGAUCCUAUUCUUUCUGAGGGGACUGAGGGUAGAGGAGAACCUCGUUCAGGGCAGGUCCUAUUCUGUCUGAGGGGACUGGGGGUAGAGGAGAACCUCGUUCAGGGCAGGUCCUAUUCUUUCUGAGGGGACUGGGGGUAGAGGAGAACCUCAUUCAGGGCAGGUCCUAUUCUUUCUGAGGGGACAGAGGGUAGAGGAGAACCUCGUUCAGGGCAGGUCCUAGUCUUUCUGAGGGGACUGAGGGUAGAGGAGAACCUCGUUCAGGGCAGGUCCUAGUCUUUCUGAGGGGACUGGGGGUAGAGGAGAACCUCGUUCAGGGCAGGUCCUAUUCUGUCUGAGGGUAGAGGAGAACCUUAUUCAGGGCAGGUCCUAUUCUGUCUGAGGGGACUGGGGGUAGAGGAGAACCUCGUUCAGGGCAGGUCCUAUUCUUUCUGAGGGGACUGGGGGUAGAGGAGAACCUCAUUCAGGGCAGGUCCUAUUCUUUCUGAGGGGACUGGGGGUAGAGGAGAACCUUAUUCAGGGCAGGUCCUAUUCUGUCUGAGGGGACUGGGGGUAGAGGAGAACCUCGUUCAGGGCAGGUCCUAUUCUUUCUGAGGGGGACUGGGGGUAGAGGAGAACCUCGUUCAGGGCAGGUCCUAUUCUUUCUGAGGGGACUGGGGGUAGAGGAGAACCUCGUUCAGGGCAGGUCCUAUUCUUUCUGAGGGGACUGGGGGUAGAGGAGAACCUCGUUCAGGGCAGGUCCUAUUCUGUCUGAGGGGACUGGGGGUAGAGAACCUCAUUCAGGGCAGGUCCUAUUCUGUAUGAGGGGGCUGAGAGUAGAGGAGAACCUUAUUCAGGGCAGGUCCUAUUCUGUCUGAGGGGACUGAGGGUAGAGAACCUUGUUCAGGGCAGGUCCUAUUCUGUCUGAGGGGACUGGGGGUAGAGAACCUUAUUCAGGGCAGGUCCAAUUCUGUAUGAGGGGACUGAGGGUAGAGGAGAACCUUGUUCAGGGCUUGAGUUCAUAAAGAAUAUCUGAUCUAGUCCGACCUCUUCUUAUUCAUAACAUCCUCCAUCAGCACUCCUACCGAAACACCAUGAAUAGAGGCCCUGACGUUCAGGACAUCCUGACAACGUUCUGAGGGACAGGGGUACCUGACAACGUUCUGAGGGACAACCUGACAACGUUCUGAGGGGCAGGGGUACCUGACAACGUUCUGAGGGACAGGGGUACC
Molecule: long non-coding RNA, 2337 nt
Organism: Oncorhynchus tshawytscha (Chinook salmon)
Lineage: Eukaryota; Metazoa; Chordata; Actinopteri; Salmoniformes; Salmonidae
Source: Ensembl